This is a long non-coding RNA of Dermochelys coriacea (leatherback sea turtle), 1248 nucleotides long. RefSeq lists it as uncharacterized. The transcript has 4 exons. The record is from RefSeq and is a predicted model, not a curated record. NCBI's taxonomy places the organism in Eukaryota, Metazoa, Chordata, Testudines, Dermochelyidae.
UACGCGCACUCUCUUUUUUUCUGUGCAUCUUUUUCAGGAUCUGUAUUUUCCUUCAGACCUUUUAUAAUGUUGAGUAAUUUAUAGUUCUAUUUUUUCAUCCUUCUGUCAUACUGAGAAGACCUUUUUCUCUUUAGCAGCUCAUUUUUCCUUUUGGAGAGGAAGUGGAUGUAACCACCACUCCCUGAUGAGAAGAGCUUAUCUGCAUUAAGGAUGGGGAGCUUCAGUCUCAACUGCUAAAGUUUUAACAGGAGUGCAGAGCCAGUUUUUGACAAAACGUAAAAUAUCUGAUAUGACCCAUUAAACAGAAUGAAAAGAUCGGUAAGCAAGCAGGAAGAAAACACAAGAAUAAACCAGCCAUGCACAGCAUAUCUCCCAAAUCCUAGUCCGUACAUUGCUCUGCAAAAAAAAGUCAACUAAACUGCAUUUCAUGGAUUAUUAUUUAUCAGUUAUUUUGCAGUAAUGCUGAAAGGGCCUGGUGAGGACUGGAGCCCAAUUGUGUUAUAUUCUGUUCACACACAGCAAGACACAAUCUCUUCCCUGAAACGCUUACAAUCUAAUCAUACAUUCCAUUGGGAUAGCAGCAUUGAAAGGUCAGUUCUGAUCAGGUGGUUAUAAUUGUUUCAAGCACUGUACUAAUAGACUUAACUAGAUCUGUAGGAACCUUCUGCUCUCACACAAUCACACUUCUGUAUUUGCUAUAGCUGUAAUUUAAAACAGGCUUAUACUUUCUGAAAAAUGGACAUGUUGAUCUAUGAAGUAACGUUUGUCUUCACUUGUAAGACAGGGAGAUGGGAACAUAACAUUUAUGAUGAUUCUACCGCUCUUGAGUUAUCACUGCUCACUAUCCUCAAGAAGAUAAGUAUCAGAACAAAGAUUAGCUGUCAUGAAUUCCUCACAGAUGCCAAGAACAGAAAAAAAAUAAAAAUCAGAAUUUAAAGACAGAAAGCCCAUAUCACUGAAAAUAAUGAGUGAGCUGCUUAAGGAUUUCCUGGUUGUAUGCCUGAAUGAGCAGAAAUCAUUCCAAAACUUCAGUUAUUUAGGCCAAGGGAAAGAUUUGAAAAUUACACAUGGUCAAGUGUUGACCCAAUAGGUCUGGCUAGACUCAAGGCUCAAUUUAAGCCUAUGAUGUUGAUUCUAGGUCAGGGGUGGGCAAACUUUUUAGCCUGAAGGCCACAUCAGGUUUCAGAAAUUGUAUGGAGGGCCAGUUAGGGGACGCUGUGCCAGGCUGUGCCCCUGCCCCCUAUCUGC